Molecule: ribosomal RNA, 229 nt
Filed under: uncultured bacterium
Lineage: Bacteria
Description: partial 16S ribosomal RNA
Rfam family: Bacterial small subunit ribosomal RNA
Source: RNAcentral
CACGUAGGCGGUCUACUAAGUCAGAUGUGAAAGCCCCGGGCUUAACCUGGGAACUGCAUUUGAUACUGGUAGGCUAGAGUAUGGUAGAGGGGGGUAGAAUUUCUAGUGUAGCGGUGAAAUGCGUAGAUAUUAGAAGGAAUACCAGUGGCGAAGGCGGCCCCCUGGACCAAUACUGACGCUGAGGUACGAAAGCGUGGGUAGCGAACAGGAUUAGAUACCCUGGUAGUCC